CUACGGGUGGCUGCAGUGAGGAAUAUUGCACAAUGGGGGGAACCCUGAUGCAGCAACGCCGCGUGGAGGAUGACGCAUUUCGGUGUGUAAACUCCUUUUAUAUGCCAAGAAAAUGACGGUAGCAUAUGAAUAAGCACCGGCUAACUCCGUGCCAGCAGCCGCGGUAAUACGGGAGGGUGCAAGCGUUACUCGGAAUCACUGGGCGUAAAGGACGCGUAGGCGGGUUGGAAAGUCAGGUGUGAAAUCCUACAGCUUAACUGUAGAACUGCACUUGAAACUUCUAAUCUAGAGUAUGGGAGGGGGAGAUGGAAUUAGUGGUGUAGGGGUAAAAUCCGUAGAUAUCACUAGGAAUACCUAAAGCGAAGGCGAUCUCCUGGAACAUUACUGACGCUAAGGCGUGAAAGCGUGGGGAGCAAACAGGAUUAGAUACCCCCGUAGUC
Molecule: ribosomal RNA, 440 nt
Filed under: uncultured bacterium
Lineage: Bacteria
Description: partial 16S ribosomal RNA
Rfam family: Bacterial small subunit ribosomal RNA
Source: RNAcentral